Non-coding RNA from Ictidomys tridecemlineatus (thirteen-lined ground squirrel), 544 nucleotides. NCBI's taxonomy places the organism in Eukaryota, Metazoa, Chordata, Mammalia, Rodentia, Sciuridae. The record is from RefSeq and is a predicted model, not a curated record.
UCUCACUGUUUUGUAGAAGUAUUCUCUCCACCAGUAAAAAGACAAGUACAUGAUGGUCCUAUCUACCUCAGCCCGUGCUGCAGAGAAGACUGUUGGGAAACCUGAUCUGAAAUGAAGAUUUCUGCCAUCAGCAAGGAUUUGCCUUAUGAAGAAUAAUGUGGUUGAGAGGCGAGGAAGUUAAAGGAAGGGGGCUGCUUUCUAGAUCUCCGGGUUGCUAUUCCCAUGAAAUGCAGAGUGUGUGGUACCCACAGACAUGCAACGUGGUGGAUUUGGAUGUCCUGGGGGACCUCAAAUGGAAUUGAAGAUUAACCUCUUCCAAACCUUCUCUUCAUCAUAAGUAGGAACCUUGGGAUCAAUAAAAUCAGUAUCAUCAUGACCUAAGAGGACUCAUUAUGUAUGGCACACGCUCUCGACCACAGGAGUACAUCAGUUUCUAAGGUGUGGUUUCUGCACCAUCAGCAUCACCCAGGAACCUGUCAGAGAUGCACAUUCUUGGACCCACCCUAGAUCUGUUGAAUAAAAACCUGCUAACCUGUUUGAAUGA